This 492-nucleotide ribosomal RNA is filed under the name uncultured bacterium. Its description in RNAcentral is "partial 16S ribosomal RNA". It matches the Rfam family "Bacterial small subunit ribosomal RNA", at positions 29 to 507 of the family's 1533-position model. The record is from RNAcentral.
AGUGAACGCUGGCGGUAGGCCUAACACAUGCAAGUCGAGCGGCAGCACAGUAAGAGCUUGCUCUUACGGGUGGCGAGUGGCGGACGGGUGAGGAAUACAUCGGAAUCUACUUUUUCGUGGGGGAUAACGUAGGGAAACUUACGCUAAUACCGCAUACGACCUACGGGUGAAAGCAGGGGAUCUUCGGACCUUGCGCGAUUGAAUGAGCCGAUGUCGGAUUAGCUAGUUGGCGGGGUAAAGGCCCACCAAGGCGACGAUCCGUAGCUGGUCUGAGAGGAUGAUCAGCCACACUGGAACUGAGACACGGUCCAGACUCCUACGGGAGGCAGCAGUGGGGAAUAUUGGACAAUGGGCGCAAGCCUGAUCCAGCCAUACCGCGUGGGUGAAGAAGGCCUUCGGGUUGCAAAGCCCUUUUGUUGGGAAAGAAAAGCAGCAGGUUAAUACCCCGCUGUUCUGACGGUACCCAAAGAAUAAGCACCGGCUAACUUCGUG